Molecule: ribosomal RNA, 253 nt
Filed under: uncultured bacterium
Lineage: Bacteria
Description: partial 16S ribosomal RNA
Rfam family: Bacterial small subunit ribosomal RNA
Source: RNAcentral
UACGUAGGGGGCAAGCGUUGUCCGGAUUUACUGGGCGUAAAGCGCACGUAGGCGGCUAUUCAAGUCGGGGGUGAAAGCCCGGGGCUCAACCCCGGAACUGCCCUCGAAACUAGGUAGCUAGAAUCUUGGAGAGGUCAGUGGAAUUCCGAGUGUAGAGGUGAAAUUCGUAGAUAUUCGGAAGAACACCAGUGGCGAAGGCGACUGACUGGACAAGUAUUGACGCUGAGGUGCGAAAGCGUGGGGAGCAAACAGG